UAGGGAAUCUUGCACAAUGGGCGAAAGCCUGAUGCAGCAACGCCGCGUGAAGGAUGAAGGCCUUCGGGUCGUAAACUUCUGUUCUUGGGGAAGAAACAAAUGACGGUACCCAAGGAGCAAGCCCCGGCUAACUACGUGCCAGCAGCCGCGGUAAUACGUAGGUGGCAAGCGUUGUCCGGAAUUAUUGGGCGUAAAGCGCGCGCAGGUGGUUUAGAAAGUCUGAUGUGAAAGCCCACGGCUCAACCGUGGAGGGUCAUUGGAAACUAAUAAACUUGAGUGCAGGAGAGAAAAGUGGAAUUCCUAGUGUAGCGGUGAAAUGCGUAGAGAUUAGGAGGAACACCGGUGGCGAAAGCGGCUUUUUGGCCUGCAACUGACACUGAGGCGCGAAAGCGUGGGGAGCAAACAGG
This 407-nucleotide ribosomal RNA is filed under the name Verrucomicrobiota bacterium. RNAcentral describes it as "Verrucomicrobia bacterium partial 16S ribosomal RNA". It matches the Rfam family "Bacterial small subunit ribosomal RNA", at positions 355 to 776 of the family's 1533-position model. The record is from RNAcentral. Lineage: Bacteria; Pseudomonadati; Verrucomicrobiota.